RNAcentral lists this ribosomal RNA (253 nucleotides) under uncultured bacterium. RNAcentral describes it as "partial 16S ribosomal RNA". It matches the Rfam family "Bacterial small subunit ribosomal RNA", at positions 524 to 776 of the family's 1533-position model. The record is from RNAcentral.
UACGUAGGGGGCAAGCGUUGUCCGGAAUUAUUGGGCGUAAAGAGCGCGUAGGCGGUCCAGUAAGUCGGUUGUGAAAGUCGGGGGCUCAACCCUCGGAUGCCGAUCGAUACUGCUGGGCUAGAGUCCGGAAGAGGCGAGUGGAAUUCCUGGUGUAGCGGUGAAAUGCGCAGAUAUCAGGAGGAACACCAAUGGCGAAGGCAGCUCGCUGGGUCAACACUGACGCUCAUGCACGAAAGCGUGGGGAGCAAACAGG